UAACCUGCCCAAGAGAUCGGGAUAACACCUGGAAACAGAUGCUAAUACCGGAUAAUAACAGAUGAUGCCUAUCAACUGUUUAAAAGAUGGUUCUGCUAUCACUCUUGGAUGGACCUGCGGUGCAUUAGCUAGUUGGUAGGGUAACGGCCUACCAAGGCGAUGAUGCAUAGCCGAGUUGAGAGACUGAUCGGCCACAUUGGGACUGANACACGGCCCAAACUCCUACGGGAGGCAGCAGGC
Molecule: ribosomal RNA, 240 nt
Filed under: uncultured Lactobacillus sp.
Lineage: Bacteria; Bacillati; Bacillota; Bacilli; Lactobacillales; Lactobacillaceae
Description: partial 16S ribosomal RNA
Rfam family: Bacterial small subunit ribosomal RNA
Source: RNAcentral